This 285-nucleotide unclassified non-coding RNA is filed under the name Hevea brasiliensis (rubber tree). Lineage: Eukaryota; Viridiplantae; Streptophyta; Magnoliopsida; Malpighiales; Euphorbiaceae. The record is from RNAcentral.
UGGAGAAGUGCCAUCCUUUGGGUAUGUUUGACAGUAUCGCAACUCUCGCAGUUGCCCAGAACAUGCGUGAGCUUUACAGAUUGGUUCUUGUUGAUACACCGUUGGCUCCCUACUUCUCCGAGUGCAUCACAUCAGAGGAUUUGGACGACAUGAAUAUUGAGAUUAUGAGGAAUACUCUCUACAAGGCAUAUCUCGAGGAUUUCUACAAGUUCUGUAAGAAACUAGGUGGAGCUACUGGCGAAAUAAUGUCUGACCUUCUUGCCUUUGAAGCUGAUAGAAGAGCUG